GACAGAGGGUGCAAACGUUGUUCGGAUUUACUGGGCGUAAAGCGCGUGUAGGCGGCUUUGCAAGUCGGAUGUGAAAGCCCACGGCUCAACCGUGGAAGUGCAUCCGAAGCUGCAUGGCUGGAGUCUCGGAGAGGAAGGUGGAAUGCUUGGUGUAGAGGUGAAAUUCGUAGAUAUCAAGCAGAACACCUGCGGCGAAGGCGGCCUUCUGGACGAUGACUGACGCUGAGACGCGAAAGCGUGGGGAGCAAACAGG
This 253-nucleotide ribosomal RNA is filed under the name uncultured bacterium. RNAcentral's name for it is "partial 16S ribosomal RNA". It matches the Rfam family "Bacterial small subunit ribosomal RNA", at positions 524 to 776 of the family's 1533-position model. The record is from RNAcentral.